This 28-nucleotide small RNA is filed under the name Bombyx mori (domestic silkworm). RNAcentral's name for it is "ovarian small RNA-34455". Lineage: Eukaryota; Metazoa; Arthropoda; Insecta; Lepidoptera; Bombycidae. The record is from RNAcentral.
UGGAAGAGAUUUAAUUCUUCGAGGCCGC